CCUACGGGAGGCAGCAGUCGAGAAUCUUGGGCAAUGCACGAAAGUGUGACCCAGCGACGCCGCGUGGAGGAUGAAGGCCCUUGGGUCGUAAACUCCUUUUGCGAGAGAAGAACGCACCUUUUAGGUGCUUGACGGUACCUCGCGAAUAAGCCACGGCUAACUACGUGCCAGCAGCCGCGGUAAUACGUAGGUGGCAAGCGUUGUCCGGAUUUACUGGGCGUAAAGCGUAUGCAGGCGGACCUUUAAGUAGGAAGUGAAAGGUUGGAGCUCAACUCUAACACUGCUCCCUAUACUGGAGGUCUUGAGUGCCGGAGAGGAAGAUGGAACGGGUCGUGUAGCGGUGAAAUGCGUUGAGAUGACUCGGAACACCAAUGGCGAAAGCAAUCUUCUGGACGGAAACUGACGCUGAGAUACGAAAGCCAAGGGAGCGAACAGGAUUAGAUACCCUGGUAGUCUUGGCCAUAAACGAUGUUCACUAGGUGUCGGGGGUUACCCUCGGUGCCGCAGCUAACGCAUUAAGUGAACCGCCUGGGGACUACGGCCGCAAGGUUGAAACUCAAAGGAAUUGGCGGGGGCCCGCACAAGCGGUGGAGCAUGUGGCUUAAUUCGAUGCAACGCGAAGAACCUUACCAGGGCUUGACAUGUAGCUGCAAGCUCCCGAAAAGGAGUCUCCUUCGAGGGUGCUACACAGGUGGUGCAUGGCUGUCGUCAGCUCGUGUUGUGAAAUGUUGGGUUAAGUCCCGCAACGAGCGCAACCCUCAUGUCUUGUUACCAGCGAGUCAAGUCGGGAACUCGAGACAAACUGCCUCUGUAAGAGGAGGAGGGUGGGGGAUGACGUCAAGUCAUCAUGCCCCUUACGCCCUGGGCUGCACACAUGCUACAAUGGCCGGUACAAGAGAUGCCACAGCGCGAGCUCAAGCAAAUCUCAAAAGCUGGUCUUCAGUUCGGAUUGGAGUCUGCACUCGACUCAUGAGUCGAUCGCUAGUACGCGUCAGCAUACCGCGGUGAAUACGGUUCCCGG
Molecule: ribosomal RNA, 1021 nt
Filed under: uncultured bacterium
Lineage: Bacteria
Description: bacterial SSU rRNA
Rfam family: Bacterial small subunit ribosomal RNA
Source: RNAcentral